This 358-nucleotide long non-coding RNA is filed under the name Gossypium raimondii (Peruvian cotton). Its description in RNAcentral is "long non-coding RNA (GRAI_LNC002268)". Lineage: Eukaryota; Viridiplantae; Streptophyta; Magnoliopsida; Malvales; Malvaceae. The record is from RNAcentral.
AUAAAAAAAAAGAACGAUUGGCAGUUUUUUAAAGAUGGCUUACUAUUUUCUUCUUUCGAUUAUUUUUUACUUAUUUACGAUUUUAAAAAAAGGGAGAAGGUGAUACCACUGCGAAUUUUAUUUAUUUAUUUUAUUUAGCCCCUCCGCCUUUUAAUGUUUUUGUAAUUAAGUUUUUUUUUAUUUUUAAAUUUACCCCUUUAUUUAUUUUCGAUUUCAAUUCGAUCCUGAUUGGACGACGCCGUUUAGGGAAAUAGGGAAAAUUUCCCUUCCGGUCCCUCCAUGUAAUAUGCGCGUUCAAUUUGGUCCUUCAGUUUCCAUUUAUGUAUAGAUUUGCCUCAGAGUUUUUAUUUACAGUUCC